AAUUCCCUUUUGGUACAGGAGAAGAUUCUAAAAUGAACCAGGAACCACUGCAGAGCUGUAGAAUAUCUCCCAGGAAUAUGAAUCAAAAGGAGAUGACAGCACAUUAUAUGCUUUGCAGAUUGAAAAAGACAUCUGUUGCUCAUUCUUUUAGCCCUAUGCUGCCAAAGCAUAAAUAUGAAAAUCAAGAAGGGACAUGUCUGGUAUUAUGCACUCCAGUACUUGGUUCUUAGUCACCUCUGCUGUCCAAGGAAUACGCAGGAGUCUUCUCCAGCACCAUAACUGAAACAACUAAUUUACAAGUAAGAGAUCUCUUAAAAUACAGGUUUUUGUUUCAUUACAAAACUGCUUGUUUCGUAGGUUUCUUCAGAACUAGUGCAUAAAGUGAGGUAUAUUUUAUUGUAAAUUUAUUGUCAUAAAAUUUGAAAAUGUGCGCCUGGGCAACAAUGUCUGGGUGGGUAUAUCAAACAACUGCCUAUUUCUCCUUAAUCUCGUUUUGCCCUGCAUAUCCAGUGUUCCAGAACUGGGGAAAAAAUUAUUUCCCUACUUUUUCCAAAACUAAGGCUGUGCAUCAGGAUUGAAUUAGAGGGUUAAGUAUAUUAAGAACUACUGCAGAGAAUACAUAAUUUAUACCGAAUGCAUAGAAUUCAUGUUUUCCUUUUGGCUGCAAAGUUUGGCAUAUAGUACAAAAAAUCCUGGACCUUAGUUU
Non-coding RNA from Pantherophis guttatus, 706 nucleotides. Lineage: Eukaryota; Metazoa; Chordata; Lepidosauria; Squamata; Colubridae. The record is from RefSeq and is a predicted model, not a curated record.